UUUGGUUUCCUGAAGUGAGUCGGAUCCUCCUGUCGCCCCCUGCUGGACGCACCUGCUCGUCUCUGUGAACAGAAACUCUUCAGUUGUUUACAUUCCUGUCGCUGAGUUAUUUAAUCAGCUGUUGGGAUUUAUUAAUAAAUAUUAGUCAUAAAACAGUUAUGGUUACAUUAUAUUUACAUGUUAACGUUUUUAUGAUGUCAUGUGGGUGUAAUUAUCAGCCUCUGAUUCGUCACCAUGCGAGUCUGAACCUCCGCCCCCAAGUAGCAACUGUCCAAUCACACCUUAGCAACUGUUACUCAGCCUGUGCAGGGGCGGAGUUUUGACUGGUCACAUCAUUUUAUCAACUUUUCAGAAACAACAGUGAAAAUGUGAAGAAGAGAUGAAACAGUGUGAGCUGCUCGUGUUCUUGUCAGACUCAGUUGCCUCUGACAGCAGUGACCCGGCGUUACCGAGUCCAGGAGCUGAGAGAAAACGCUGUUAUUUGGUUACUCUGAUAAAAUCUAGAUUCCACACUGAAACGUCGGAGGCGGUCCUGAAUGCAUCCUGACUGAAACCCAGUAACUCUCAGGUGAGGUUAAAACUGAUUCCGCCACAGAAACGUGCCGUCAGGAUGUAAAGCCAACUUCAGACGUGCCGUCAUUGCAUACGGAGUCAGAGGAGACUCGAGAGGGCGGCGCCAACGGAGGCAAAGACCCGAGUUUGAAAUGUUUCAACUAGUUCAGCUGAAAGUGAAGCAGCGUCGUCGUGAUCGUCCCAUCAGGUGUUUACAUCAGUGGCAGUCGUGUGAUUUGGAGGUGUUAGACAUGUUUUAAUGUUUACAGUUAUAGGUGAUGUCAUGUUUCUUUGGACAGAACACGGAUGGAUAAAUAAACAAACUGUAAACAGACGGAUGGAAACAACAACAUGAGGAGGAAAUCCAAACACUGAGCUCAGAGUCUGAAAAUAAUCAGACUAAAGACAGUAGAUGAAACAUCUCACACUUCCUGUCUGUAGAGUCAGGUUGACAUCCUGCCUGAAAACGUCACACUUUACUCUCAACGUCACAGUUUGUGAUGUCACAGCUCGCAGCGGCAUCAGUUUAGGCCUCUGCUGAAAGCUCAGGAUGAGUCUGAAUUCAGACAGGAAGUAGAGACAACAAACAAACAACAGCAGAGUCUGUUGGCAUGGCGAUGUGUCAAUCUGUUCUUCCCAUGAUGCUUUCUGUCCGUUUGUUUUGAUAUAUGAAUUGUAGAGCAGUCUAAAUACAUAAAACAGUGACAUUAUGUGACGCUGAUUAUGGUGAUUACACAUGGAAACAAGCAAGCAAUAAGGUGUGGGUGUGUCUCUGCAGUGAACCAAUCGGGUGUGGGUGUGUCUCUGCAGUGAACCAAUCGGGUGUGGGCGUUUCUCUGCAGUGAACCAAUCAGGUGUGGGCGUGUCUCUGCAGUGAACCAAUCAGGUGUGGGCGUGUCUCUGCAGUGAACCAAUCAGGUGUGGGCGUGUCUCUGCAGUGAACCAAUCAGGUGUGGGCGUGUCUCUGCAGUGAACCAAUCAGGUGUGGGCGUGUCUCUGCAGUGAACCAAUCGGGUGUGGGCGUGUCUCUGCAGUGAACCAAUCAGGUGUGGGCGUGUCUCUGCAGUGAACCAAUCAGGUGUGGGCGUGUCUCUGCAGUGAACCAAUCAGGUGUGGGCGUGUCUCUGCUGUGAACCAAUCGGG
Long non-coding RNA from Epinephelus fuscoguttatus (brown-marbled grouper), 1695 nucleotides. RefSeq lists it as uncharacterized. The transcript is spliced from 3 exons. The record is from RefSeq and is a predicted model, not a curated record. NCBI's taxonomy places the organism in Eukaryota, Metazoa, Chordata, Actinopteri, Perciformes, Serranidae.